Neomonachus schauinslandi (Hawaiian monk seal) is the source of this 87-nucleotide small nucleolar RNA. RefSeq annotates it as small nucleolar RNA SNORD35. NCBI's taxonomy places the organism in Eukaryota, Metazoa, Chordata, Mammalia, Carnivora, Phocidae. The record is from RefSeq and is a predicted model, not a curated record. The transcript has a single exon.
AGCAGAUGAUGGCUUUUCCUCAUGAUGGGCUGCGGAUGCCGCUGUGGGCAGCGGCAGGAAUGCCAACGGCUCAGCGGAUGCCAAGAA